This 439-nucleotide ribosomal RNA is filed under the name uncultured prokaryote. RNAcentral describes it as "partial 16S ribosomal RNA". The record is from RNAcentral.
CCCUACGGGGUGCACCAGGAUGGGCGUUCCCUGCUUGUCCGCUGCGACUACGAUCUUCUCGAUGUCCUGGGCGCUGCGGACGUAACCCCGGCCGCGGACCAUGUACUCGGCGCCGCUUAGUUCGACCAGCCGACCGCCCACAUCGUUGUUGCCCUCGCGGAUCGCCCGCACCACCGUGGAGAUUGGGAUGUUGUAGGCCAGCAGCUUGGCGGGAUCCAGGUUGACCUGGUACUGUUUCUGAAAUCCGCCGACAGAAGCCACCUCGUCCACGCCGGGCACCGACUGAAGCUGGUAGCGAAGGUUCCAAUCCUGAAGCGAGCGGAGUUGGGCAAGGUCGUUGUGUCCGGUCUUGUCCACCAACGCAUAUUGAUAAACCCAGCCCACGCUGGUGGCGUCGGGGCCCAUUUCCGUGCGGACGCCUUCAGGCAGGCGGGGGAGC